RNAcentral lists this ribosomal RNA (466 nucleotides) under uncultured bacterium. RNAcentral's name for it is "partial 16S ribosomal RNA". It matches the Rfam family "Bacterial small subunit ribosomal RNA", at positions 28 to 507 of the family's 1533-position model. The record is from RNAcentral.
GAUGAACGCUGGCGGCGUGCUUAACACAUGCAAGUCGAACGAUGAAGCCCAGCUUGCUGGGUGGAUUAGUGGCGAACGGGUGAGUAACACGUGAGUAACCUGCCCUUGACUCUGGGAUAAGCCUGGGAAACUGGGUCUAAUACUGGAUAUGACUUCUCAUCGCAUGGUGGGGGGUGGAAAGAUUUAUUGGUCUUGGAUGGACUCGCGGCCUAUCAGCUUGUUGGUGAGGUAAUGGCUCACCAAGGCGACGACGGGUAGCCGGCCUGAGAGGGUGACCGGCCACACUGGGACUGAGACACGGCCCAGACUCCUACGGGAGGCAGCAGUGGGGAAUAUUGCACAAUGGGCGCAAGCCUGAUGCAGCGACGCCGCGUGAGGGAUAACGGCCUUCGGGUUGUAAACCUCUUUCAGUAGGGAAGAAGCGAGAGUGACGGUACCUGCAGAAGAAGCGCCGGCUAACUACGUG